Molecule: ribosomal RNA, 58 nt
Filed under: Colletotrichum simmondsii
Lineage: Eukaryota; Fungi; Ascomycota; Sordariomycetes; Glomerellales; Glomerellaceae
Description: partial 28S ribosomal RNA
Source: RNAcentral
GGCAGACCGCAGCUCAUAUAGGCACCACCCAUGUUUAAGCGUGAGGGGGCGCUGCGGA